CAUAUGAAAGUAACAAUACAUUCAACGAACAUUGAAAAAGAAAAAAAUUCGGGCUUCACUAUUUUUUAUUUCAAGCAGUGAAAAAUUAAAACAAAGCACGGUGAAAAAUAUUUUCGAAAAAUGUAAAUUUUUGAGAAAUAUGAAAUUUUUGAGUCAUGUGAAUAUGAGUGUUGUUGGGGGUAGGGAAGAGGUGCGGGGG
RNAcentral lists this long non-coding RNA (199 nucleotides) under Capsicum annuum. Its description in RNAcentral is "long non-coding RNA (CANN_LNC017678)". Lineage: Eukaryota; Viridiplantae; Streptophyta; Magnoliopsida; Solanales; Solanaceae. The record is from RNAcentral.